AUGUCGUGUUAUCGACAAGUGAAUUCAUAGCUUGUCAGAAGGCAGACCCGGAGAACUGAAACAUCUUAGUACCCGGAGGAAGAGAAAGAAAAAUCGAUUCCCUGAGUAGCGGCGAGCGAAACGGGAAGAGCCCAAACCAAUAAGCUUGCUUAUUGGGGUUGUAGGACACUCUAUACGGAGUUACAAAGGAAUAUAUUAGACGAAUCAUCUGGAAAGUUGAAUCAAAGAAGGUAAUAAUCCUGUAGUUGAAAAUAUAUUCUCUCUUGAGUGGAUCCUGAGUACGACGGAGCACGUGAAAUUCCGUCGGAAUCUGGGAGGACCAUCUC
RNAcentral lists this ribosomal RNA (326 nucleotides) under Staphylococcus haemolyticus. RNAcentral describes it as "bacterial LSU rRNA". It matches the Rfam family "Bacterial large subunit ribosomal RNA", at positions 140 to 459 of the family's 2925-position model. Lineage: Bacteria; Bacillati; Bacillota; Bacilli; Caryophanales; Staphylococcaceae. The record is from RNAcentral.